GGUUGACCUCGGAUCAGGUAGGGAUACCCGCUGAACUUAAGCAUAUCAAUAAGGCGGAG
RNAcentral lists this ribosomal RNA (59 nucleotides) under Gloeopycnis protuberans. Its description in RNAcentral is "partial 28S ribosomal RNA". The record is from RNAcentral. Lineage: Eukaryota; Fungi; Ascomycota; Leotiomycetes; Phacidiales; Phacidiaceae.